RNAcentral lists this ribosomal RNA (716 nucleotides) under Bacillus mojavensis. Its description in RNAcentral is "bacterial SSU rRNA". It matches the Rfam family "Bacterial small subunit ribosomal RNA", at positions 57 to 756 of the family's 1533-position model. The record is from RNAcentral. Lineage: Bacteria; Bacillati; Bacillota; Bacilli; Caryophanales; Bacillaceae.
GCAGUCGAGCGGACAGAUGGGAGCUUGCUCCCUGAUGUUAGCGGCGGACGGGUGAGUAACACGUGGGUAACCUGCCUGUAAGACUGGGAUAACUCCGGGAAACCGGGGCUAAUACCGGAUGCUUGUUUGAACCGCAUGGUUCAAACAUAAAAGGUGGCUUCGGCUACCACUUACAGAUGGACCCGCGGCGCAUUAGCUAGUUGGUGAGGUAACGGCUCACCAAGGCAACGAUGCGUAGCCGACCUGAGAGGGUGAUCGGCCACACUGGGACUGAGACACGGCCCAGACUCCUACGGGAGGCAGCAGUAGGGAAUCUUCCGCAAUGGACGAAAGUCUGACGGAGCAACGCCGCGUGAGUGAUGAAGGUUUUCGGAUCGUAAAGCUCUGUUGUUAGGGAAGAACAAGUACCGUUCGAAUAGGGCGGUACCUUGACGGUACCUAACCAGAAAGCCACGGCUAACUACGUGCCAGCAGCCGCGGUAAUACGUAGGUGGCAAGCGUUGUCCGGAAUUAUUGGGCGUAAAGGGCUCGCAGGCGGUUCCUUAAGUCUGAUGUGAAAGCCCCCGGCUCAACCGGGGAGGGUCAUUGGAAACUGGGGAACUUGAGUGCAGAAGAGGAGAGUGGAAUUCCACGUGUAGCGGUGAAAUGCGUAGAGAUGUGGAGGAACACCAGUGGCGAAGGCGACUCUCUGGUCUGUAACUGACGCUGAGGAGCGA